RNAcentral lists this ribosomal RNA (489 nucleotides) under uncultured bacterium. Its description in RNAcentral is "partial 16S ribosomal RNA". It matches the Rfam family "Bacterial small subunit ribosomal RNA", at positions 30 to 507 of the family's 1533-position model. The record is from RNAcentral.
AUUGAACGCUGGCGGCAGGCCUAACACAUGCAAGUCGAACGGUAACAGGAAGCAGCUUGCUGCUUUGCUGACGAGUGGCGGACGGGUGAGUAAUGUCUGGGAAACUGCCUGAUGGAGGGGGAUAACUACUGGAAACGGUAGCUAAUACCGCAUAACGUCGCAAGACCAAAGAGGGGGACCUUCGGGCCUCUUGCCAUCGGAUGUGCCCAGAUGGGAUUAGCUAGUAGGUGGGGUAACGGCUCACCUAGGCGACGAUCCCUAGCUGGUCUGAGAGGAUGACCAGCCACACUGGAACUGAGACACGGUCCAGACUCCUACGGGAGGCAGCAGUGGGGAAUAUUGCACAAUGGGCGCAGCCUGAUGCAGCCAUGCCGCGUGUAUGAAGAAGGCCUUCGGGUUGUAAAGUACUUUCAGCGGGGAGGAAGGGAGUAAAGUUAAUACCUUUGCUCAUUGACGUUACCCGCAGAAGAAGCACCGGCUAACUCCGUG